CCUACGGGUGGCAGCAGUGAGGAAUAUUGGUCAAUGGACGCAAGUCUGAACCAGCCAUGCCGCGUGCAUGAAGACGGCUCUAUGAGUUGUAAACUGCUUUUGUACGAGGGUAAACGCAGAUACGCGUAUCUGUCUGAAAGUAUCGUACGAAUAAGGAUCGGCUAACUCCGUGCCAGCAGCCGCGGUAAUACGGAGGAUUCAAGCGUUAUCCGGAUUUAUUGGGUUUAAAGGGUGCGUAGGCGGUCGGAUAAGUUAGAGGUGAAAACCCGUGGCUCAACUUCGGAAUUGCGUCUGAUACUGUUCGGCUAGAGUGUAGUAGAGGUAGGCGGAAUGUAUGGUGUAGCGGUGAAAUGCUGAGAGAUCAGGAAGAACACCGAUUGCGAAGGCAGCUUACCGAACUACUUCUGACGUUGAGGCACGAAAGCGUGGGGAGCAAACAGGAUUAGAUACCCCAGUAGUC
Molecule: ribosomal RNA, 460 nt
Filed under: uncultured bacterium
Lineage: Bacteria
Description: partial 16S ribosomal RNA
Rfam family: Bacterial small subunit ribosomal RNA
Source: RNAcentral